This is an RNA transcript of Brachypodium distachyon (stiff brome), 2615 nucleotides long. RefSeq lists it as uncharacterized. The transcript has 5 exons. The record is from RefSeq and is a predicted model, not a curated record. NCBI's taxonomy places the organism in Eukaryota, Viridiplantae, Streptophyta, Magnoliopsida, Poales, Poaceae.
UUCAGCAACAAAUCCAUGCCUCGUCCUCUUCCAUCUCUUCUGCACUCCCUUUCUCCUAUCCUGUAUCCACCAAGCCGCGCAACCACCCAACACUCGCCGUGGCCGGCCAUGCCUCCUCCCCUCUCUUUCCUCCACCUCCCUCCCGGCCCGCCCGCCCUCCACCCCUCCCCAUCCUUCCACCGCGCCCGCCACGGCCCCUCCCUCCGCACAGCCCCACAGCCCCGAGCGCCGGCGGUGGCGGUAUCCGAGAACCCGUCCCCAGCGGCGCCCACUCCGGCGGACGUCGAGAUGUUCCGCGGCGUGGACGGCGUGUGGACGGCGCGGACCCCGACAGUGGUGGUGCUGUGGGACCUCGACAACAAGCCCCCGCGCGGGCCGCCCUUCGAGGCGGCCACCUCCCUCCGCGAGGCGGCCUCCCUCCUCGGCCGCGUCGACUCCGUCUCCGCCUUCGCCAACCGCCACGCCUUCACCCACCUCCCCGCCUGGGUCUCCGCCGACCGGCGCGACCGGCGCGCCCUCGACCGCGCCGAGCGCGCGGGCGUCGUGGCCCCGCCCAUCCCCUACUCCUGCGGCGUCUGCGGCCGCCGCUUCCCCACCCGCCCCGAUCUCGCCCGCCACUUCCGACAGCUCCACGAGCGCGAGCGCAACAAGAAGCUCGGCCGCCUCCGCAGCCUCAAGGGCAAGAAGCGCCAGAAAUUCCGCGAGCGGUACAUCUCCGGCAACACCAAGUACCAGGAGGCCGCGCGAGAGCUACUCACCCCCAAGGUCGGGUACGGGCUUGAUUCCGAGCUCCGACGCGCAGGCGUCCAUGUCCGUACCGUCCCUGACAAGCCGCAGGCCGCCGACCAAGCACUCAAGCGCCAGGUGAAGCACGCCAUCGCCUGUGGCGUCGACUGGGUCGUGCUCGUCUCCGAUGACUCCGACUUCACCGACACGGUGCGCAAUGCACGCGAUGCCGCCCUCAGGAUGGUUGUCGUCGGGGACGGGUGCCGAGCUCUUGGGAGGGUUGCUGACAUUUGGUUGCCUUGGGACAGCGUGCAAAAUGGGGAGGUCGAUGAGGAGAUGAUGCGGAGUGGGAGGGUUCCGGGAUUUGGAGAUUAUGAGGAUGACGAGGAAGAUGACGAGGAGUUCAUAGUGGAUUGGGACACAAGCCAACUGGAUGAUGUUGUUGAUGACAUUGUUACGACUAGGACCAAAGUGUUUGGCGCUACAGCAAUGUCUGCAUUUGCUGAAGAGGACAUUGUUGAUGGUAUAUCGGGGCUUGGGUUGAAGGAGGACGACAUGUUUUGGAGCAGCGACGACGAGGAUGAGGAUGGUUUUUUGUGAAAUUCCUUAGAUUGGCAGGAUGGAAAAUUUCAGUCGCCACUCAAAGUUUCCUUGUUCGGUCUCAGAGGAUCACUCGUUCACCUUCUUAGUAAAGCGAUAACCAUCACCUGACCUUCUUCAGCCUGCUUCUAUUUCUCUGGCAAAGUACAGAGUUUUGUGAACAAAGUGCUUAUUGUUGAUUGCAGCAGUGUUUAACUGAAGAUAGGUUGAUAUUAGUUCCUUCAUUUGUGGGUUGUAUGCAACUGCUAACUUGAGAAAUAAAUUCUGCACGCAAGUAGCUUCAGCAUUUCAGGAUUUGCUCAAAAAAUCCAACUGCCACUUCAACAUUCCCUAUUUGGUCACAGACAAUCACUCGUCCACCUCCUUAGUAAAGUGAACACCAUCGCCCAGCCUUCUUCAGCAUACUAAACUUGGAUCCCGUGCAAUGUUCCUGGCUAUACAAAUUCUUCAAUGCCUUGUAUCUUCAAGAAGUUUCAACACCACUUGAGAAAUAGAUCGAUGGUUCUCGAAUGACCACUGCCAAAUUUAAACUAGAAGGGGAGGACCUUGUCGUCGACAUUCAGGGAUGCAGCUUGCAGGUAACAGACCACCUGCUACGGCAGUAGCUGGAGCCAGAAUAGCCUCCUGCCUGGAGAAAGUUUAAGCAGGCGCAGAAGUUCACCUCACCAGCUAAUCUGAAGAAACAGAAGAACUGUGUGACCGCCAAUGCUAGUUGGACGCCCGCUGCUAUGAAGGGUGAGUGGUACGGUCUGGCGCGAACAUGAGAUACUUCCUUCCGGGAUUACACCGCUAAAAUGUGUAUUAGUAGUAGAUGGUUCAUUAGGAGAUUGAUUAGUGUCGGAUGAACAUCUGGUUGGUUCAGGGAAAUAUGAAAUGAUGGGUAAGCCAACGGUGAUGAACUGAUGGGAGCCAGCAAGGGAGAUGAAAUGUUGCCGAGGUCUUACCGCUGCAAAACCGAAUUACACCCACGUGAUAUUUUUGUUGAGUUGAAAAAGACACAGCUGAAAAGAGACGGCGGUUUUAUCUAGGGUUCAAGUACAGGUUUUGGACAGUAGGAUCAGGAUGUUACAUUUUGGACUCAUUCCUCGAUUUGGUACAUACGAGUUUUGGGAAAUGCACGUGGUAGCCUAAGAAGGAAGUUGUUUCUUCGGUCGGUGAACAACGAGGGGGUUGGUUACCUUAACAAAGGCUGAGAUGUUUCCUGGCAAACCUUUCUCUCUCCCAAUUCACAUUGUCGCCCGUUUUAAAAUGGUUGUGUUGGACUGUCUCUAAACUCACAUGCUUUAAUU